GAGGUGGAGUGGUGGAGUGGAUUGCAGGGCAUUCUCUGUGCACUGGUCCAUGGAACCACGCAGCCAAGGCAUGGAUAGCCAGAGAUGGAGUCAGGGGAGCCAGAGGCAUAGAUUGGCAAGCUAGUAAACCUGGACUGCAGAGCAACUGAGAGCUGGGAAAAUGAGCCACUGAAACUGGGGCUACUGACUCCUUCCUUCCCUAGCACAAAGAGCCAGAGAAUGGAGCUGAGCUGCCUAGAGGGCAUAGUGAAAAUCCAUCUUCAACCCUAAUCAUUGUUGAAAAUCAUCAACAACUAAUUUUGUUUUGACCUUAUCUGGCAGGAAAAUCACAGCAAGAAAUAUGAAGAAAGAACAAAAGCCAGUCAAGUUAGUACAGACAGAGGGUCGUUAUUUAAAGCCCCCGUGGCUGGAGUCUGGUAAUUACGCAGGAAUCUCUACUCGCAUUUUAAAAAGCCCAAAAUUUAAGUUUCUAGUCGUCUUGUUUGGAGAGAAAAGCUUGAAAAGCUGAACUAGAAGCCCAGGAAGACAACCCAAACGUCAUUUUUUUUAAAUCUCAUGCUGUGUAAGCCAAUUUCAUGAUUUGUGCAUGCUUGGGAUUGGCAAUACAAGGUUCUCCUGUUUUUGUGCUAAUUGCGUAAUGUUACCUGCUACACGCACAGUUAAAGGUUUGCCCUAGUCUUCGUACAUGCAGGUAGUCCCCAUGAGUCCAGUGAUACCAUUCGUGUAGUAGGACGGGUUUACAGGCCUGGGACCUCUGCUUUUAGAAAUAUAGGCCCAGAUCCUGGGCUGCAUCCAGCCCAGCUCAGGAGCGGGGGUAAAAGUGGUAUUAAAUGACCUUUUACACACUGUGCUGUGGGACCAACAGGCUGUUGGGCCAGUGCCCCGCAUAGGGUACAGUAGCCUCCGGGAGUAAA
Long non-coding RNA from Caretta caretta (loggerhead turtle), 914 nucleotides. RefSeq lists it as uncharacterized. NCBI's taxonomy places the organism in Eukaryota, Metazoa, Chordata, Testudines, Cheloniidae. The record is from RefSeq and is a predicted model, not a curated record.